Long non-coding RNA from Prinia subflava (tawny-flanked prinia), 424 nucleotides. RefSeq lists it as uncharacterized. The record is from RefSeq and is a predicted model, not a curated record. NCBI's taxonomy places the organism in Eukaryota, Metazoa, Chordata, Aves, Passeriformes, Cisticolidae. The transcript is spliced from 2 exons.
CAAACCACAGGCAGCUUUGAGCAGGUGCCAGCAACACCAGCAGAUGCAAUUUCUGUGCUGUUAUGCUUUUGCCUAGACCUGAACAAGAUCACAGCUCCUCCUGUGAGUCACUGAUCCUACUGAUGAACCCCAACCCGCCUGAUGUCCUGGAUAAGGAGAGGUGCAGAUUCCCACAGGAAGACUGGACUCAUCUCACCACCACUGAACCCUGUCUACAGGGUCAUCUCUACUCCUACAGAACCACAUCUGUCACUCCAGGAGGAUUUAUUGGACUGCUUCCAACACCCUGGCCAACAGGGUGUCAGGUUGUAUUCCUGACUCUAUCAGGGCUUUCUAGGACUUUUGUUUGCUUGCUUGUUUUUUUGUAUUACUGCACUUGCAUUUUUAAUAUUCCUAGUAAAGAACUAUUAUUCCUACACCCAUA